UCGGCCAGGCGAAUAAUCUGGCUGGAUGACGGUACCCGCAGAAGAAGCACCGGCUAACUACGUGCCAGCAGCCGCGGUAAUACGUAGGGUGCGAGCGUUAAUCGGAAUUACUGGGCGUAAAGGGUGCGCAGGCGGCCCUGUAAGACCGGUGUGAAAUCCCCGGGCUCAACCUGGGAAUUGCGCUGGUGACUGCAGGGCUAGAGUACGGUAGAGGGGGGUGGAAUUCCUGGUGUAGCAGUGAAAUGCGUAGAGAUCAGGAGGAACACCGAUGGCGAAGGCAGC
This 282-nucleotide ribosomal RNA is filed under the name uncultured bacterium. RNAcentral's name for it is "partial 16S ribosomal RNA". It matches the Rfam family "Bacterial small subunit ribosomal RNA", at positions 448 to 725 of the family's 1533-position model. The record is from RNAcentral.